Molecule: long non-coding RNA, 538 nt
Filed under: Homo sapiens (human)
Lineage: Eukaryota; Metazoa; Chordata; Mammalia; Primates; Hominidae
Description: long intergenic non-protein coding RNA 2153
Source: RNAcentral
GUGCCUGUGAGGCAGGACUUAAAGGAGGCGCUGGCCCUCAGGGGCAUGCGAGGGCAGGCCUUCCUCUUUAUAUAGGCUUAGAGAGCCACUACUCGAAGCCAAGCCUUACGUCAGGCAGCAGAGAUACCAAGAUGAGGUUGAAGAAAACACACGGCUUUCUCCACUCAUGGACUCCAAUGAGGAUGGCAACAACAUGGUAAUUAGAAGUCAUUAGCAGAUUGCUCUCAGCAAGUGGAAAGCAGUGAGAAUUCUGAAGCAAGACUUCUCUGGACUUCAGGGAAGUCCCUCUAAGGAAGUGACAUCUAAACUGGAACUCCACUGCCUCUAGGCUGAGACUUGACCUUGUGACUCCAGCCUAGGAUUAUAUAAGGAUGUGACUGACCUUAGAGGAUUUCACGGGAACUUAGCUGUACACGUGGAACCCAUUUAUUUGCUGACACUUCUCAUUUCCUUUCAGAACAAACCUACAUUCCCAGACCUAUAAUUUUCUUGAGAAAAUGGGUUUAUUAUAAGUCACUCAAUAAAACACCCUACCAUG